GCCAACUGCCAAGUAAGUCCAUACUAAUUAAACUAAUUCAGGACAUAACCACUGGUGGUUUCAUGGGCCCAGUGGACACACUGUGAGACGGAUUGGGUCAUUUGUUACCUGAUUCCCACAGUCCCCGUCCUAACAGGAGAGGCAUGAUGGCACUUCAGAUAUGAGUAUUGGCUCAGACCAUAGCCAACUGCCCUCAAAAACCUGGUUACUUUUUCCAGAGUGUGGUGGUUACUCAAGUAGAAUGCCAUGGGUCUUUAUGGAGAAAGACUGGAGGCCUCGCUACUGUAUAUACUCACCAUAGUGUUACGGGGUUCUUUCUAACAGAAACCAGGCCCUGCUUUAGUCAAUGUCAAUGGGUUCUUGGUCCAAAAACAGGUUCAAGACUGGAAAAUGGGCAAAGGACCACGACUUUCUGUGAACUCCUCUUGGUUUUUUCUUUUUAUAACAUAAAAUUCAUCAUUUUAGAGUGUGUAAUUCAGUGGUGUUUAGUCUACUUCUCUUUGUAUGGAUUUGCCAGAUACUGGACAUUUCAUACAAAUGGAAUCCUACGAUGUGUGUCCUUCUGUGCCUGGCUUCUUUCACUUGGCAUGAUGUUGAGAACAGCUUCAUCUGGGUUGUAGCAUGUGUCAGGCAACUUCCCAUUUAUGGCUGAUUGAUAUUCCAUGGUAUGAAUAUGGGACAUUUUGUUUGCCCAUUCAUCCACGGUUGGACAUUUGAGUGUGAAUCCAUUCUUAACCCUUUUAUUUAUGUAUAUUGAGCAGUACUCUGGAUAGUUGCCCAUCUACUCUGCCUCUAGGGACAUCCUGUCCUAUUGGCCAUCUUCAGUCCAUGUAUCUCUGAAAAUUAGAACACUUACCCCCUUUCUCUUUGUUCUGACCUUGUGGCUCAUUCUAUUACAGUAAUUAUACCCACCUUGAAGAAGCAAGUGCUGCAGUGAAGUGCUGCUGCCUGGUCCUUGCUAGUCAAGAUUCUAGCAUCCCUCCUGCUCCUGGAGAGCCCUGCUCCGUGGUAGCAUCUCCGACCACCAGACCUGGCUUGUUGAGGAUGGCUACCACUGAGCUUUUUAGCAAUACUGGUGCUACCCUCACCAGCAAGCUCCUUGUCACCAUGAUACCACUCAGAUGGAAUUAAGACCCCACUCUAAUAAUCUCAUUUUAACUUAACUACCUCUUCAAAGGCCCCAUCUCCAAAUACAUUCAAAUUCUGAGAUACUAGGGGUUAUGACUUCAGCAUAUGAAUUUGGAGGGAAUGCAGUUUGGCCCCUAACAGCAUGAAAUUUACUUGCACCCUGACAAGGAACAUUGAUGGGCAGUUGGUCCUGUGUCUCCUCCUGGCUCUGCCCAUCUGUGGACUGCAGCGCACUGCUCACGGGCCCUUGUUGGAUGACGAUUCCUGCUUCAGCAGCAUCCUUCUCCUUUCCGUACAACCUCACUGCCUAGUCACAGCUGAACGCAGCGUGGAGAGUUUAUUCUCAGUAGAGUGUGAGGGGCUUAUAGUUCCUGACGUGCUCUCCCUUCCUGAAUGAUACGCUUUGGGAAGAGUGAGGGAGCAAGGUAGAGAACAUGGUUUUUGGACAAGAGCUAGGUCAGACUAAGGAGGGAAAGACUGUCUUCCAGUCGCCGGUUCCCUCCAAGCCCUUGGGGGACUGCUUGUAUCACCGAAACCUGGAAACUGAGUCAGGGUCCCACUACAGCGCCGACUGCCUGUGGUCCUUUAAUUGUUCUGAACAUCGUUUCCUUCACCAGUGAAGCAAAUGCUGCCUUCGUAUCUACCCUCUGUGUUCUCAUCGAUGUGUGUGAUGUUUCACGUGACAGAUCAGUGCUUGUCACACAGAUGCCGCAAUACCCUGACUGGCCAGGGAUCACUGAUGAGGGCUUCCACGACCACUUGCCUUUUGCUCCCUCAUCUCGGGAUGGCCUCUGAAGGCACCUGCUCAUGUUGGGGGCUGCGUCCCCUGCAGUUCAGCGAAGGCACCUCUGUGCUGCUGAGCGCUCAAGAGGUCAUGAACCAGGCUUUGUAGGGAAAGUGUCGGCAGGAUGGUGGCGCAGUCCUGGAUCUUGGAGGAAUGUUAGAUGCUUUCCGUGAAAUCCCCUCAUUUUACAGCUGAGAACCCUGCACUUUGGAGAACCCCAGAGCUGCUUUCUGUGAAGCAUGGAGAAAAUAAGAAUGUGAACACAGGCCCCUGGACUCCCUCCAGAGCCUCGGUUUCCCUCCCCACUUCACUGAGAAAGAAACUAUGAGGUUGGCUGGGUGCGGUGGCUCAUGCCUGUAAUUCCAGCAGUUUGGGAGGCUGAAGUGGUCAGAUCACCUGAGGUCAGGAGUUUGAGACCAGCCUGGCCAACAUGGCGAAACCUUGUCUCUACUAAAAAAAGAGGUCGGCUCAUCUAGAUCUUUGUGAAUGAUAAAUACAAAUUUUAAACACAUAGCUGCAUUUAACAGUUGAAACAAGCCAUUCUGAGUUUGAGAACACAGCCUUCCCAGGUCCAGUUGAACUGGAUGGGGCCUUGUGCCGGGGUCUGCUCUGAAUAGCAGCCUUCAUGGAGUUGCCUUGUCUGUGUCAGAUGUCCCCUUGGGCCUUUCCAUAGCCAAGGGGACCAAUGGUGGCACCAAUGGGCUGACAGAGGAAGACUGGGAGCCCAGUGGCUGCACAUGUCCCACGGACACCCACUUGUCUAAUGACAAUGCUUUGGGCUGACUAAAUCAGCAGCGGAGAGGGAACCUGAGAGGCGGGAGGAGAAGCAGAGCAAGGCAGAGUCGGGGGACCGAGUCCUCCAGGAGGCAGGGCCAGCCCAGCAUGGGAAUUGGGGGCUGGGGGAGGAAGGGCAGAGCCUGGCCCAGGCCUGGCACACAGCAGAUGCCAUGCUGUCAACUCAGGGCUGGUGUGGAUAGGCUCAGCCUCUCUCUGGGGUCUCUCUCUGAGCCUCUGAGCAGGUGGGCCCUGCAGAGGCCCUCAGAGGCCAUUGGAGUCCAUGAACAUUCUCCAGGGCCAGAGAAGACCAUAGAGACAGCAGAAGGAGGAAUGCCCUCCUUCCACCAGAAGCUCAGCGCUUUGCAGGGCCAGAGGGCCGUUAUUGUGGUAGGGUGGUGGUGAUGGUGACGAUGAUAACACUCAAAUCCAUGGACUAGGGGGAGACUGUCACCUCACAUACCCCCUGACACCCAACUGCCAGCCCACGCUUGAGAUAUGAUGACAAAAUCUUCGUGCUUGGGCUCCACAGCCUUUUGCUCCCGCUAAGGGACAACUCUCCCUGGGAUGGGGACUUAUCUCAUUGGGCUGGGCUCAGGGAGUUUCCUGGAGGUGUGCUUUGCUGGGGAAGAUGGCAAAGAGCAGGUCCCUGGGGUAAAAUAAGGAGAGAGGGGCUGCAGAAAGCGUUCUGUGCCCCAACAGCCUCCACCCCUCCCUGCAGCCAGCGAGGGCGGAUGGGAGGCUGUCUGCCGCCAGAGCCUGGCCUGUGCCUCUCUGGAGGGCCUCCUGCCUGUGCCUCUAACACUGCACUGUUCACCAUGCCUGCGCCUGGGCACACUCAGAGGGUGUGCCCAGCAGAAAGCUUCAAGAACACUUUACCUGCCCCAGGCCAUUCCAGGUUGACCUUCAGAGGCCAGGCAGGCACAGGCUUCCCCUGGGCCACUCUCAGGUAGCCCCUGCAGAUUUUGAAUUAAACAUUUGAGGAUUUCACAUAGCAGAAAACCAGUUUUUUAUCCUGCCAGGAAAAACUUGAUGAUUUGGCAUUCCCACAGGCUGCCAUUGGUGGGAGGGGUGGGCUCAGGUCCAGGUUUAGCCCCUACAGCUGGCCUCACUCACCCACCACACCCCUGCAGGCCUCUGAGUAAGUGCCCUCCACUGCGGCUCCGUGCAGAGAAGUGUAUUUUUUAUGUAUUUUUAUUUUUAUUUUUUUGAGAUGGAGUCUCGCUCUGUUGCCCAGGCUGGAGUGCAGUUGCACCUCUCGGCUCACUGCAAGCUCCACCUCCCGGGUUCAAGCAAUUCUCCUCCCUCAGCCUCCAGAGUAGCUGGGAUUACAGGCGCCCGCCACCACACCUGGUUAAUUUUUGUAUUUUUAGUAGAGAUGGGGUUUUGUCAUGUUGGCCAGGCUGGUCUCGAACUCCUGACCUCAAGUGAUCCGAGAAGUGUAUUUUUUAAAUAAAGGAGUUGAAGGGACGCUAUGCUCCUUUUUCAUCCCUCAUGUUCAUUCCAUGGGCUGCAUCACAAUGGUGACGCUAGGACUCAUCUAAUAGUGACAACAUGAGACCCUAGGUAGCACUUACCCUCUGCUGGGCAUUACUCUGUCUCAGGAAACUGAGGCUCAGCGAACUUGAGAUCCCUCACCUGAGCCCUGCAGCUGGUGAGUGGUGGAGCUGGGACUCACACCCAUGCAGAGGAACACCAGAGCCUGAACCCUCCAUGGUCGGGCGGAUAUUUUUCCAAGCAUUCUCCUCCAGUCGGUCACUUCAUGAGCAUAAGGACAUGGUCCUCCGCCUGGGAACCCCGGGUGCCUGACGGUUCCCACAGCUCACAGCCUGCCCCUCUGUGUAGCCUUUGGGCUGUGGUCCCCCUCUGAUCUGAGGCCAGUCACCUCUGCAUGUCCGGGUUUCUGCCUGAUUCCAGUCCCUGCCAGGGCAAAGGUGGUCCCCCUGUUGAGGGGCAGGGAGGGAGGCAGCCUGUGCUUUCUGCUGUCUCCAUGUGCAGCCUGCGUGAAAGCCAGCAGCCUCAUGGUCCAGUCACGGCACAGUGUGACAGUCACAGACAGAGAGGCAGAAAAGACACACAGAACACACAGCUAUCUUUGUUUAGGCUGCCUCCUUUCCAGCCCUGAUUACUUCAGGACGACUCUUGGAUCUAACAUAACAGAGUGGUCUCCACACUUGGACACAGGAAGGGGAACAUCACACACCAGGGCCUGUCGUGGGGUGAGGAGAGGGGGGGAGGGAUAGCAUUAGGAGAUAUACCUAAUGUAAAUGACGAGUUAAUGGGUGCAACACACCAACAUGGCACAUGUAUGCAUACGUAACAAACCUGUAUGUUGUGCACAUGUACCCUAGAACUUAAAGUAUAAUUAAAAACAAACAAACAAAAAAAACCAGAGUGGUCUUCUUCUCUGCACAUUCCAGUGGCAAGACAGAGUUUAGGGGAUGCCAAGAGGCCAGCACCAUCCACGACUCACUCCAAUUUUCAUGUAAAGACUAGUGUGCCAAGUGCCGCCUAGAUGUGAGCUGUGCUGUCCAGCAUGAAGGUGAGACUCUCUAACCCUUAGCACUACUCCAUGCCCAAGACUGGAGUCACUGACCCAGCCUGGGGCCAAUGGCAGAAGGGCUGCCUGUACCCACACUUGACUUCUGGGGUCCUGAGAGAGAGGAGUGUCCCAACCUCUUAUUGCCCCCUUGGGGCAGAGGUUGGGCCCUGAGG
Molecule: long non-coding RNA, 5401 nt
Filed under: Homo sapiens (human)
Lineage: Eukaryota; Metazoa; Chordata; Mammalia; Primates; Hominidae
Description: HSALNT0218093
Source: RNAcentral